CUUACUUUUGCUAAACUUACAAAAGCAGAUUGCAUUACAAAGCAAAUCUGCACACUUAAGAGAAAGCUAAGCAGAUCUAAACCAAACAAUAUGCUCCAAUUCAGUGUUAACAAUCACUUCAUGCAACUUUAAUAGCUUUCCUACUUCUGUUGAGGAAGCGAAAGACAGACCAAUGCAAACAUCAAGAAAAUGGAUGAAGAAAUCUUUGAAACAAUCAUAUUGAUUGUAUUUUUGAAAAGAGGACUAAAAACUUAUUUAAAAGAUAUGCAACAGACAUUUUAUUUGAAACAUCUCUUUUGGAUCAAAUUUUAAAGUCUCUAAAUAAACUUAUACAUCACUGUCAAACUAGCAAAGAAGAAAUCCAACUAUAAGAUCUACACUAAAACUCGAAUUACGAAUGGAACAGAAACCUCAAAGUUGGUUCUUGGUUGAAAUUUCUUGUUCAAGGCAUAAGAAGACAAGCAGUCAACUCAAAUACACAAGUUAAUCUCAGUAAACUUAGGAUUAGAUAACAUAAAAACUUUGCUUUUCAAACACAUGUAAUAAAUCAUGACUGAGUAGACUUCAAAAUUGACAUUGGCAUACAUAAAUACAGAAUGAUGCUCAGCUACAACAUACCAAAGCUUUUCAGACAUGCCAAAGCAUGAAUCAAAUACAGAAACAUUGACAUACCUCGUUCGUUGCCGAAUAAAAUCUAAGAAGAAAACAAGAUGGAGUUCAGCUACUAUUUCAACCGAAAUCGCAGCAAUCCAACACCAAAUCACUCCUCGAUAACCCAGAAAUUACAGAGUAAAGCAAUAAACUGAAAUAGCCUUGAAAUUCUCUUUUGCUAUAAUUUUGGGCUUCUAGAUCUAAAAAAAGCUCAUUAGCUCGAAAUUACAGCAUCUCUGAGCUACUGUGUUUGUUUUUUUGAAUUUCGAAAUAGCCUUGAAUUUCAAGGCCAUCAUAUCUUCUUUUUAUUCUCAAAAUCCAGAUUUGGUUGUUGAAGUUCUUUCGAAUUUCGAAGGUGACUUCGAUUUUUUCGUGUGUUGAAGAAUGAGAGAGGUUAGAGAGGGGAAUCAGAGAUGAAUAAAGAAGCCCGUUUUAGGAUAUGGGAGCGGAAAAGGAUCUGAUUUUGGUCUCUCCCCUCUCUCUUGCGCCGCUGUCAAUUUUCUUUUAGAGGAGAGGGUCUGAUUUCUUUAUGUGAUUAGAUCUGAAGGAAUUGAAGGGGGAAUUGGGUGUUUUAGGGAUAGAGGGAAUUGGGCCGAUCGGGUAUGGGCUUGAUUUAAAGCAAUUGGGUCAUUUUAAUUUGGCCCAGUCCGAUUUUUGACUUAGAAAAUGACCAUUUUCCUUUCUUUAAAUUGUUUUCUCCUUUUGGCUUUAAAUCAUAAUUAAUUAAAACCAAAAUUGAGUCCUAAAUUAAUCCAAUUUGCAAAAAUAAAAAUUAUUUAUCUAUUUAUAUCAUUAAAACAAAUAGUUAACUUAAAACUACAGAAAAAUACUAAUUUUAAAGACUAAAAGCUAAAUAUGUAAAUUGAGUCCUAAAUUAAUCCAAUUUGCAAAACAUAUGUAAUGCAACAUUUUUUUGUAUGUUUUUCUAUGAUUUUAAGCUAUUAAAUAUGCAAUUGAACCCAAAACCAAACAAAGAAACUCCUAAAAUUCAUAAAAUAAUAAAAAUUAUUUUUGGACUAUUUUUAGGAGUAAUUUUAUAUAUGGGGCAAAAUAUUGGUGCUCACAUCUGCCCCUCUUUUCUCGAGAACAUGAAGAGUUUUCGGGCAAAGAUAAAGUGAGCAAUUAUGAAUAAUAUUUGCCCAUUAGAUACUCCAUGGGAAGGAUUUUUUGAAAAAGUCUGACCGAACCUUGCUACUGAGGUUGCCUACAUAUCCUUGGCUAUAAGGGAAUCAGAUUAGUGUAGUUCUGGAAAUUUUGGUAGCUGGAACUACCGAGAAGCUAUGAUUUCACUGUUGUUGUUGUUGUUGUUGUUACUGCUUGCUGAGCUCCUUAUUACACCAAAAUCAAAAAUGAAAAAGACUAACUAAGUCUAUCAGCUACGAGUUACAAGAUUCCUAUCUAUGAGUCUUUUGAAGCUUGAUCUUGAGUCUUGGCUAGUUCUUCAUGCGGACUCUGAUUUGAAUCUUGAUGUUUGUUAGCUGCAAGUGCUGGUUCAUUCCUCUUUGGCUUUUCGGAUCAAGACAGUGCCGCGCCCCCUUUUUCCUUUUCGCGGAAAUCGGGUUCAUGACAUUUUGGUAUGGGACAACUAUUUCCUUUUGGGAAAGGGGUUUGCAAUUUUGAAGAGUCGCCACCUAACGAUUUUAAGGUGCGUUCGGGCACCUAUAGGGUUCAUUUCUAACUAUGUUUAGAUAACCAGAGAUCGGGUAAGAGCUUGAAAUUAUCCUAAAGGGAAGGUGUUAGGCACCCCUCAGGAUCCACUAGUGUGGUUCCCCGCCAGACAGUUUUUAUGAAUUCGUGCAAUUAACAAGUAGACAAGUAGGGCUCAAAUAGUGAGUGUUUGAAAACAAUUAGUGAAAAGCAAGAUUUUUGAGAAAAAUUACAAUCUAAGCCUAAAGGGGGGGGGGGGUCCUAGGCUUUAUAAUAAUAUGGAUCACAUCAAUGUAAUACCCGGUAUGACACUCCUCAAAAGAGGGGAUACACGUGGUAUUAGCACACGGUCAUCAUAUCCAUAUCUACCAUUUCCCUCCCGUGAAGGUAAUUAAAGAGACGGUUGGUCUCGACCCCUAUUGCAUGCUGUUACCCAUCCCUUCCUAUUAGUCCCGGAGGAAUUUAGGACUCUUAUCCUAUAAGAAGGAGGUUCUAGGUAGACCCUCAGGUUUAAAGGCAAAAUACGAAAGCGACAUACAAAACAUACAAGACUGCACUUAGGGGGAAAACAUAGAAGCAAGUAGAAGGCUCUAGUAUACCUCCACAAAUAACGCACAUAGAUAGCAUGACUCAUGCACAGCCAAAGUCUGAAUUCAUAAUCCUAAAGCAGAAUGUUUAAGUGAUAACAGCAGAACCAGAUUUAUUACAUGACUUAGAAAAGAAGUCUGAAUCAGGUUUGCCUACUGAUUUUAACAGUUGAUAAUCAAACAAAGGCAGUUCUAGUUUUAUUUAAGUUAUUACCUAAGGCUUGCCUAGGUGCAAAGCGAUAUGCAGUAGUUGUUCCAAGUUAUUAAGACAGUUUGGAGAUUAUUUUUACCUACAAAGAUUAUUACCAACUUAUUCAUAAAGCAUCACAAUGCGAAAAUUACUACUUACUGCCUUUUCAUGAAUCGGUAAUUAACUAGGCGUUUGAACGAAAUGCAAAAAGAAUCUUAAAACAUGACAUUCUAAUAUGCAAAUGGCAGGGUUGUUGAAAACAGAGUCCCUAAGGCAUGAUUGCUAAAUGUACACGAGAGCUGCAGAAUUGUUGAGAUACGACUUCAUGAGUAACAACUUUUAUUCCAAUGUUGUUAUUGCCCUAGGAGCAGGAUUUCUAAGCGAUAGACAUAAAACAUGGAUUAAUGAAUGAGAUACUGAAGCAAGAAACAUGAAUUCUAAGAAUAUGAUUUCUAAUGCACGUAUGAAUCCUAAGCAUGGUUUCUAUUGAACAAUUAGGAAUAUAAACCUAAUGACAUGUUUUAUACCCUUAACAAAUUAUAGCAUGCAUAUUUACCCUACCCCCUUUCACUAGUCACCCCAAUACUUGUUUACAAAUUAUUACAGGCCAUGUGAGGGAAUUGCAUAAGUAGAAAUGAAAAAUAAGAAGCUACACUAUAGGAAGCCUGAUUAGGACAUCCUCUUUGAGUUAUGUAAUAAACCAUCUCAAGUGCCAAUAUCAUUCCAUAGCCUUUCUCAUACCUGGGUGUGUAAGAGUUGCCUAAGGACCUCCAAGGAUCCCGGGCAGUGCUCACACCCAGAUUGCAUAACCAAGAGUAAGUGCAGUGUGGAAGGGCCAGCUCUUAUGUGUCCAAGUUCAGAGGGAGCUCAAGGGUCCCAAAGCAAGGCUCACACAAAAAGGGCAGAACCUAGUGGUCUAAAAGUAUAUGUGAGAGUGCUUGACAUAGAUUUAGAGGAGUUGAGUUGGAAAACAGUUUUGAAAACAGUCAUGUUUGAAGUAAGUUUGCAAAAAGACAACAGAACAGUUGCUUAAGGAAAAUAGUUUUGAAAAGGGAAAGGGAUAGGAGCAACAACAACACAUACAGAACAAGUUCAAAGAGCAGUACAACUUCAGAAGUUAGGGAAGUAGAGGUUGGAGACACAGAGGGUCCAAAUUAGAAACACAUAAUCAUGGCUGAGAAGAGAUGCACAUAGACCAGCAAAUACAAUGGGUGAGUAUGGGCUAAUUGGUCUUCAAGACACAAACAACUACUUCAGGGGAAUCAUGCUUGAAAUUAUAACAGUAAUAAAACAUAGGGACAGGGUAUGGGAGUAGUCAUGUAGGGGGCCUAUUACACAUAAUCAGUCAUGAAUUAGUAUUAAUCAAGUACAUUAGGAGACAUACUAGUUGAGGGACAUAAACAGGAACAAGUAAACAAGCUUAUUACAUUUGAACAAGGGAGGAAAGAAUUUUAGGCAUGCUGCAGUAAACAAGAAGUGCAAUUCAACAUCAUGAGCCAUUAAAUCAGUGCAGAAAGAGAUAGGGAUUGACAAACAAGAGAACACAUAGAGUUGAGUUUCAGAAUUUGAAUAAGGAACAUGCCAGUUAAAGAAGCAAAGUGCAAAAAAAGUAAAGCAAUCAGAGUUCCACAAUCUAGCCUUGGCUACCAGCCGGCUAGACAAAGCAGUAGCACAAGUAGUAGAGAAAGAAGAGAGAGUUUGAGUGUAUAUGUAUGUGUUCUGAACUAUUGUUCAUUUGUUGAGAGGUAAAACAAGAGUGUAUAUAUAGCACUUUAGGAGUAGAACUAAUAAGGUAAAUGGAAUCAGAGUUCAAUUAAUUAAGGAUCAAUCAACCAAUCACAGAAUCAAUUAUCAUAAGGGAGUCGGGAAUAGACCCCUUAAUUAGGGGUAAUUGAUUAAUGGUAAUAACAAGAGAGUCUAAUUAAGGCAAGAAUCCCAAUCAUAAAAAGCAAAGGAUCAGUAAAAAUCACAAAAUCAUACUAACGGAUAGUUAAGGCAAGUGUGAUCAAUUAAAAUUACAAAUAAGAAAACAAAUAAAGUUCAUGCAUACGAAUCUUUAACAGAACAACUAGGCAACCAAAAUUUCAAAAAUAAUACUGAUUUGAAGAGAGGGAAAAUAUCAGUUUUCCGUAAAUAGACAAAUAGGCAAAAAUAGAAUUUCAUAAGCAUGCAUAAACUUGCCAAGGGAUCGACUCAGAAACCCUAGUAGAGAUGAACUAGGGUAAAAUUCACGAGAUACUAAAUUAGGCUAUAGGGGAAAAUCAUAAAAGUCAAAGCACAACACCAACAAUGUAACAAGUAGCUCGGAAGGACUCAGAGUCGAAGCAAAACAUAAGAAAAUUAGGGCUUUAACAUAAACUAGUUAGGGUCCAGACAAUCUUAGUGGAAAUCAGUCAAUAAUACCUAAGAACAUAUGAUUAACACUCGAAAAUCAUGAAAACUUUGAGAAGACGAGUUUUAGUAAACCCUAGUUUAGAAAAGAGCCACCAAAAUCGAAAUAGUUACUCAAAACAGGAGAUUUUUUUUAAGGAAAAUGUUUAAUAACACUUGAAUCAUCUCAGAUCUAUAAAGAUUUGAGGAGAAUCGAACAGUAGUGAGUUAGGGUUUCGAAAAAUAGCAAAGAUGAAGAAAAAAAUCGGUUAAAACUCAUGGGCACACUUAGAUCUAAGACAGAUGUAAAGAAAAAUGGAAAAUCUCAGGAGCUAGGGUUUCAGAAAAACCAAGGAAGAUGAGAAAACAUUAGAUCGUUACCAAUUUCAGCCGGAAAAGCCAUGGAUCUUACUCGAACGACCAUGGAUGGCCGGAAAGUAGCAUAAGAUACCAUGGGUGGAAGUUGAGCAAGAUUUGGACUAGAUCUCUUCGAGAUCUUUCCACGAAAUCACAAAAACGGGCAGCCAAGAGACGUAGGAGACGAGUAUACGUCUCAAACAACCAUGGGAAUCCAUGGAUUGAGUGAGGAUCGAAGAGGAUUAGGGAUGGUUUGGGUGGCGGCGUCUAGGGUUUGAGUUAGGUUUUCAGAGAGAAUUGGAGAGGAAAGGGGAUUCAAGGGCGGCGGAUUGGUAAGAACGAUUUAGGUUAGGGGGUCGUUUGGGUUAAAAAAGGUAAGGGGAAAUAGGGGCCGUUGAUCUUAGAGAUCAACGGCCAGGAUGAGACGGGUAGGUGGGGAACCAGGUUUGGGUAGGAUUUAAAUUGGGUUAGGGUCGGUUUUUAAUUGAAAUUCGGCUGGGAAAUUGGGGUUUGAUUUGGGCUAUAAUUGAAGGCCAAUUUGCCUACAUUUUAAAUAACCAUUUUUUCCCUUUUUAAUUUAUAAAAAUAGUAAAUAGUUUCUAAAAAAUAAUUUAAAGUACUAAAAUAAUUUAUAAUCAAUAAUUUAAGAAUACAUGAUCCAAUUUUAUGCAUAUAAGACAUAAUUAAAUCUUAAAAGGGCUAAUAUUACAAUUAUGUGCAAAUUAGUUUUAAAAAUAAUAAAUAAAAUUGUAAAAAUAUAUCAAAAUUACUUUAGCCAUAUUUUGGCAUAAAAAUAGAAAUACAAUAGAUGAAUUAUCAAAAUAAUAAUUUUGGAAAUAAUUAUUGGGGAUUUUAUGGAUAAAAAAGGGGAAAAUAAAUCAACUUAAACCUUUUAAAAUUAUAGAAAAAUAAUAAAAACCUUGGAUAUGCUUAUGUAUGCAUAUAUAUGCUAUUUUGCAGGUAUUUUGCAUAUAUAAUAAAUAUAUAGGGAAAAUUUGGGUAUCAACAGGCGAGACAUGCAAAGCUUGUAACUUCACUUCUGUCUUGAGCAGUCCACAUCUUUUCUCCGCUUCUACACUUUGAGUUCACUUCUUUUUCUUUUUCUUUUAUUCUAGAUUGAGACUUCUUCUUUUGGUCGUCUCGAACCCUGUGUCUCUAGGUAUAACCUGCUUAGACACAAAAAUAAAUGAACGAAAUUUUUCUGCCCCAGUUUUCAGUAGGAAAAUUUUGUGAGUUAUUUGUAACCAAAACUCUAUACUACUUCAUUAUUGAAAGCAAUAAAACUCAGAAUUGUGUAUCCUUGGGAAAAAGAUAUUAGAGAGUGGAGACCCUAUAUCUAAAAUGAGAUCAACUAGGGAUUGGAGACCCUAUUGUUGGAAAAUUAUCAACUAGGGAGUGGUGACUCUAUGUUGGCAUCAGGUUAUACUGACAUCAGGUUAUAUUGGCAUCAACUAUGGAGUGGAGACCCUAUGUUGGCAUUAACUAGGGAGUGGCGACCCUAUGUUGGCAUCUGGUUAUGCUGACAUCAACUAGGGAUUGAAAAUCCUAUGUAGGAAUCAACUAGGGAUUGAUAACCCUAUGUUGGCAUCAGGUUAUGCUGGCAUCAACUAGGCAGUGGAGACCCUGUAUUGGAAAAUCAUCGGGUUAUGCCAGCAUCAACUAGGGAGUGGGACCUUAUGUUGGAAAAGUCAUUGGGUUAUGCCAACAUCAACUAGGGAGCGAGACCCUAUGUUGGAAAAGUUAUCGGGUUAUGCCGGCAUCAACUAGGGAGUGGGACCCUAUGUUGGAAAAGUCAUCGGAUUAUGCCAGCAUCAACUAGGUAGUAGGACCCUACGUUAGAAAAGUCAUCGGGUUAUGCCGGCAUCAACUAGGGAGUUGGACCCUAUGUUGGAAAAGUCAUCGGGUUAUGCCAGUACCAACUAGGGAGUGGGACCCACUGUUGGAAAAUCAUCGAGUUAUGCCGGCAUCAACUAGGGAGUGGGACCCUAUGUUGGAAAAGUCAUCGGGUUAUGCCAUCAUCAACUAAGGAGUGGGACCCUAUGUUGGAAAAGACGCAGCUAGGGAUUGGAGACCCUAUACUACCAUGAUUUUGAAUUUUUCUUCUUUUUUUUCUUUUUUUUUUCAUUUUCAUCAUCAUUUUUUCUCUUUUUUUUUUAAUUUCAUAGAAUGAGUAAAUGCGGGAAAGAACUUUGGAGGAGACUUCCCUUUUUGAAGUUGUUGCUGCAAAGCUAUUUUUUAGCUCUUGUGCGGUUUCUUUUUGGUAGCACCUGCCUCUUGCAAGGUUGCUUGUGCAUUGCACCUGUUUCCUGUUUUUCAAACAAAGAACAGUUUGUCAGUUUGAAACGGUGGUUGAUUUUGUGGCCGUGAUUAUUUCAACCACUUGAUCUCGACCCCUUUCAUCUGCAGUUGGUUGUUUCCUGAAUACCGAUUGCAUUUCUGACCCUGGAGAAACUCUGGCUUUUCCAGACUUUGCCAUGACGAUUGGUCGAUGGGACUCAACCUUUUUGACUUUAUUUUGCCUCUAUAGGCUUUUCCUUUCAGACUUGUUGUUUUUCUUUUCUUUUCUUGUUUUUUUAACUUCGGAGCAUUGGGGAACUUUUGGAUCUUCAAACUUUGUCGCAACGGCUAGUCGCAUGGGACUUAACCUUUUCCGACUUUAUUUCGCCUUCAUAGGCCUUUCAUUUCUCGCUUCUUUCUUCCAACCUUAGUUUUAGAGCAUUUGGGAUCCCUUGGGUUUUCAAAUUUUUGCCGAGAUGGUUAGCCGCGUGGGACUUAACCUUUUUCAACUUCAUUUUGCCUUUGUGGGCAUUUGACUUUGAUUUCCUUUCUUUUUAGGAGCUUUUUGAUUUCAAAGCAUCGGCCAUCAUGGCCAGUCGAAGUCGACUCGAUGCACUUGCCAAGGCUGAGUAUCUUCUUGAAUAUUGGCUCGUAUCAAACAAAAGCCCAGUAAAUCAAUCUUUUCAUCCUUUGUUUGUCUCAGUUUUGGAACAGAGUUAGACCGAAAGGGAUUAAAAAAAACAAACAAUUGAAUAGAAAAUGGGUGUAAACAAGAAAUGUCCCUUUUGAGGAAAGGAAAGAAGGACUUAUCUGGAGUACAUGCGAACUUCAAUAAACAUGACAUGCCUUUUGGAAUAGAUGCCUGAUCCGUGUAAAUCGUUCGACUCUCAGAAAUUCAUCACAACCUUUGCCACAAAAUCGAGAAACCUUGUUAGGACUCUGUCGAUUCCGAUGGCUGUGAGGAUCCUCUUUUCGAUUAGGGGUUCCUUUGCGGGUUUUCACCAGCUAACCUCUCUCAUUUCUCUUGUCUCCAUCGCCUUAUAGUGCUCUUUGCGAGUUUUCACUAACAAGACCCUCUCAUUUUUACUUUCUCUGCUUAUUGUCGCCUCACGGUGCCCGUGGGGGUUUUCACCAAUAAGACUCUCUCAUUUCAUUUCUCUCAUUUAGUUGUAUCAGAUCCAAGUAACUAUAUCCUCCAAUUUUGAACAUCUUUACCGAUUGAUCGGAAGAACUUUUGGAUUGAAUUACAACUUUGGAAUCAUUCAGGCGAAACCAUCCCCGAACCAUUAUAACUUCUGCCCCAGUUUCACUUUUGGGGGGAAUUUGAAUUUUUAUUUUGGUUUGACUAAACCCCAGAGAGAGGCUGACUACGUAUCCUUUCGGAAUCAAGUCGAACGUAGUUCAAGGAACUCUGUUUUUUGAUUUUCUUUUGUUUUUAUGUUUUGUUUUGUUCUCUUUCUUUUUCCUCUCUUUUUUCAUUUUUUUUAUUUUCUUUGUCUUUUCUUCCUUUUUUUUUGUAUCUUUCUUUUUCUUCUAUUUUUUCAUUUUUUUAUUCUUCAUUUCAAUUUUUUCAUUUUUUUUAUUCUUCAUUUCAAUUUUUUCAAUAAUUAUUUUUACACUUUCAGGUUCCAAAGAGGGUAAUCAAAGAAAAGUAACCGGCUCAAAGGAUUUGCAAAGGGUUGAUAGUGUUUGGGUAGAGAGAAUGAAAGCCUUCUUCAUCCCAACCGGAGAAUAUUAAUGCUAUAUAGAGGAUCCAACAUAGUACGUUUUGACUGCAUUUGCAUUGACAGUUAUUUCUGGGACAUUUAGCUAUUCCGAGUCUUUGUUUUUUUCCUUAAACCAAUAUUCAUUGCAUUCUGAUUCUUGACUCAUUAUUUCGAAGUCUGAUAACGUUUCAAGAUCUGGGCAUAAAGUCCGCAAGCAUGUCAUGUUAUUGAAAUCUGCAUUUAACAGAACUGAAAAGAGAAUAAGAAAAGUAACAAGAUUAAGAAAAGAGAAUUCGUGGACAAUGGACAUUUGUUUUUUUUUUUUUGAUUUUAAUUUUUUUUUGAAUUUAAAGGAUAUAAGGGUUUACAUCAGAAAGUAAGAAAAUAAAAUAAAACGUCCGGAUCACACCCUGAGAUAAUCCGGAUGCAGAAAGGAUAGCAAGACUGGCUACCGAGAUUCCCAUCUGAUAGGGAACUUUCAGGCCUGGCGACCGUUUUUGGCUUUUCUUCUGUAUCGGCAAUGGAUGCAAUGGCUUUCACUGCCGGAUCGAAUUCCUCCUUGUAAGGAGGUAACUGAUUGUUCGUCAUAUCAGGAGCCUAUUCAUCCCGAAAAACGAUUCUUUCAGCUUUGAUCAAAUCUUCAAUUGCCGUUUUGAGGGUCCACUAGUCCUCUGUACUGUAUCCCACUGCUCCAGAGUGGUAUUCACAUCUAGCAUCAGCUCGGUGCAAGAGGGACUCGGGGUUUGGCCUAUUUGGAGCCACUAGCUGCAGCAGACCUCGCAUGACUAGCUUUUGCAACAAGCCCGAGUAUGAUUCACCAAUAGGGGUGAACUAAUUCCUUUUGAAAGACUCUCUUGGGCAAGGAUUGUACUGGGGAAUGUUUGAUUGGGGAUUAUAUGGAGCUUGGUAAGGAUGGGCAUUUCUCAGAGGUGGAGCUCGAUUUUGUGUAUAAUAUUGUGUAUGCGUGCAAGGUUGCGUGUUCAUCAUCGCAUACUAACAAAACCAACCACCUAAAUAGAACCUGGCUAAUUUGCUCACACCACAACCUUGUUAGUUUUGAGAUAUUUAACGUAUAGGAAAUCACACGUUGGGAUGCAAUGUACCUAACAGUUAAACGCUUCUACCAUGUGUUUGAACAGUUGCAUGCUUCAUCCCCUUAACUAACCCUUUCAGUAUGUACCUCUUUUCUUUUAUUUCUGCCUCUCUUUAAUCACUCUUGAUUUUUUUUUCAUUUCGUUUCUGUCGCUCUUUUAUUUUUGGCACUCUUUUUUUUGUCACUCUUUUUUUUACUCAAAUUUUCUUUCUCUUUUUUUUCCAGUUUAUUUUCCACUCAAUUAAUUUUAUGGCUAUGAUUGAAUCCGAUGAGGAUUGUCUAAGUAUCAUGAUCCCGCAUGAAUCAGAUCUUCCGUAGUUCAGGAAGAUCGAGAAUGGAGUAAAUAAGCUAACUUUCUUUUUUACUUUUUAUAAAACUCAAACCAUGAAAGAUUUAAGAAAAAGAAAAACAUAUUUUUUUUGAAUUUCUGUAGUUUUUUGGAUUUUUGUUUUUGGAAUUUUUGCAAGAAAGACUUCUAAAGAAGCAAGAAAAUAUUUUUUUGGAUUUUGAUUUAUAUUAUUUUUCUUUUUUUUAGGAGAAAGAUUUCUAAAGAACGGAAAAUAUAUUUUUGGAUUUUGAUAGUUCUUUUUUCUUUAAUGAAAGACUUCUAAAAAUUCUUUUUCUUUUGUUUUGAACUUUUGGGAAUUUCAAAAGUAAAAAGAAAAUAUUUUUGUUGAAUUUCCAUUCGUUUUAUUUUUUUAAGAAGAAAGAAAAUAUUUUUGGAUUUUUGAUGUUGCCUCUUAAUUUUCGAAAGAGGGACUUUUAAGAAAAUAUUUUGUAUUUGUGAGUUUUUAUUUUUUUAAAUUUACAAAAGUACUUCUAAAGAAAAAUGAAAAUAUUUUUGGACUUCAAUUUUUCAAUAUUUUUUAUGACAUUUACAAAAGAAAGACUUUUAAAGAAGGAAAAAUAUUUUUAUUUUUUUGGAUUCUUUUAUUUUUAUUUUUAUUUUUUGAGUUUUUGAGAAAAAUACUUCAAAAUAAAUGAAACCCAUAGUUUGGAUUUUGAUUUUUGAUAGAGUUUUAUUUUUAUUUAUUUUUUUCGAAUGAAAGACUUCAGAAAGAAGGAAACUAUUUUUUUUUUGGAGUUCAAAUUUUUUUUUUUUGAAUUUUCUAAGGAAAUGCUUCUAAAGAAGGAAUUAAAGGAAAUUUUUUUUUGGAUUUUUUAAAAUUUGGGGUCGAAACCGAUGAGAUUUGCCUACGUAUCUCACAUCCGGCGAGAAUCAGACCCGCAUAGUUUGGUCAGUUUUGACAGAAAAGAGGAAACAUAAAUUAUUGAAAACAUUGGGUUAUUUUCUUUCUCUUUAUUUUUUCAAAAAAGUCGGCCGAGUUUCGCAAAUUUUCAAAUAAUUACCUCUCACGCUCUUUUUUUAUAUUUUCUUUCUCUAUUCUAGAAGCCAGUCCACAUGCAAGCCGAAACAAACAGAUGCGCAAGUAACACGUAAGAUGCAUCAGGAUGGUCUUUUAAUUUGGGUUCACAUGUCCUAGACUGACCCAACCCAUGUGUUGAGUCCCCAAAGUCAAAUGCGCAUGAUGCAAACAAGCGUUCCUACUAGGGAUCUCACAUGNNNNNNNNNNNNNNNNNNNNNNNNNNNNNNNNNNNNNNNNNNNNNNNNNNNNNNNNNNNNNNNNNNNNNNNNNNNNNNNNNNNNNNNNNNNNNNNNNNNNNUGUUUAUGUACAUGUUGCGAAUCGUGUCACCGGAAUCAUACCCACAAUCUACAAUACGUGCAUUUUAUUAUUAUUCGAAGUUGUUAUGAUCGGGUCACAUGAAAUGAACACUCGAAUUUGGGAAUUAUGUAUUAUGACUAUGUCAUGGGAACCGUACCCAUAAUCACGAUGAUUUAUUAAUCGCUCCUAAAGCAAGUUACGAUGUUCAUAAGUUGUUUAUUCUAACAUAAUUUUGGAUUGUCGCGAGGGCUCUGACUUAAAUUACCUACUAGUUAUUUAAAGUUCAGAGUUGCACACAUCCAUCUAAAGAGUCAAAACUAUUAAUCUUAGUUUAAACAAAUGUUUACUCGUGAAUCCUUAUCUGUGUAAAAAUCAUCAGUCGAUUUAUAUGGAAAAGAAGUAAAGUCAUUAAAGUGUAUUAAGCUACACCACUAAUUACGACAAUAUGACUUCACUAUACAAAACUUUCUCUUACUUUUGCUCAACUUACAAAAGCAGAUUGCAUCACAAAGUAAAUUUGCGCACUUAAGAGAAAGCUAAGCAGAUCUAAACCAAACAAUAUGCCCUAAUUCAGUGUUAACAAUCACUUCAUGCAACUUUAAUAACUUUCCUACUUCUGUUGAGGAAGCGCAAGGAGCUAAGACGAAUGCAAACAUGAAGAAAAUGGAUGAAGAGGACUAUUGAUUGAUUUUUUUGCUAAGAGGACUAAAGCUUAUUUAAAAGAUAUGUAACAGGCCUUUUAAUUGAAACAUCUCUUCUGGAUCAAAUUUUAAAGUCUCCAAAUAAACUUAUACAUCACUGUCAAACUAGAAAAGAAGAAAUCCAACUAUAAGAUCUACACUAAAACUCGAAUUACGAGCGGAACAGGAACCUCAAAGUUGGUUCUUUGCUGAAAUUUCUUGUUUAAGGCAUAAGAAGACAAGCAGUCAACUCAAAUACACAAGUUAAUCUCAGUAAACUUAGGAUUAAAUAACAUAAAAACUUUGCUUUUCAAACACAUGUAAUAAAUCAUGACUGAGUAGACUUCAACAUUCACAUUGGCAUACACAAAUACAGAACGGUGCUCAGCUACAGCAUACCAAAGCUUUUCAAACUUUCCAAAGCAUGAAUCAAAUAUAGAAACAUUGACAUACCUCGUUCGAUGCCGAAUAAAAGCUAAGAAGAAAACAAGAUGGAGUUCA
This 13724-nucleotide long non-coding RNA is filed under the name Nicotiana tabacum (common tobacco). Its description in RNAcentral is "long non-coding RNA (NTAB_LNC013536)". Lineage: Eukaryota; Viridiplantae; Streptophyta; Magnoliopsida; Solanales; Solanaceae. The record is from RNAcentral.